AUUGAACGCUGGCGGCAUGCUUUACACAUGCAAGUCGAACGGUAACAGGCCUUCGGGUGCUGACGAGUGGCGAACGGGUGAGUAAUGCAACGGAACGUGCCCAGAGGUGGGGGAUAACGCAGCGAAAGCUGUGCUAAUACCGCAUGUGAUCUGAGGUUGAAAGCGGGGGACCACGCAGCAAUGUUUGGCCUUGCGCCUCUGUAGCGGCCGAUGCCAGAUUAGGUAGUUGGUGGGGUAAAGGCCUACCAAGCCGACGAUCUGUAGCUGAUCUGAGAGGACGACCGGCCACACUGGAACUGAGACACGGCCCAGACUCCUACGGGAGGCAGCAGUGGGGAAUUUUGGGCAAUGGGCGCAAGCCUGAUCCAGCAAUGCCGCGUGCGGGAAGAAGGCCUUCGGGUUGUAAACCGCUUUUGUACGGGACGAAAAGGCUCUGGCUAAUACCUGGGGCUGAUGACGGUACCGUAAGAAUAAGCACCGGCUAACUACGUG
RNAcentral lists this ribosomal RNA (492 nucleotides) under uncultured bacterium. Its description in RNAcentral is "partial 16S ribosomal RNA". It matches the Rfam family "Bacterial small subunit ribosomal RNA", at positions 30 to 507 of the family's 1533-position model. The record is from RNAcentral.